UUUGCAAAACCCUGGAGUUGGGAGUUGGGACCUCACCCUUUGUGACCCUGAGGUUUCUCUCUCUUCCACCGCCAGCAAGCUGAAAACACAGACACUGCGAAAAGGGAAAGGGAAAAAAGACAAGUUAAGGAGGAAAGCUUGAAACUUUAUUAACAAAAGAGCAAAGGAAAUGAAGGAAUAGAAGGUGGGAGAUGAAGAGCUUUUUGUCACUCUCUACUUCUUCUGCUACAGCUUUCCAUUUUCGUCCUCUCAUGGCUAAGGUACAUUGCAAAGACAUUAUAUGGUGAUGAUGAGGAAGAAGAAACUCCUCAAGAUACUAAUGAUACUAAUGUUGAUGAAACAAAACUGCUUGAUGUUCAUCCAACUUCCGAUGAGAAGGUUGUUUUGAAGAAAGGUCCAUAUGGAUUCUAUGUACAGCUUGGCGAAGACAGGACAGCAUCUGCUUGGAUGGGUCCAACUUGUUCUUGGAAAUACACUUGGUGCCAUGCUAUCAAUUGUAAUUAGCAAACAAGUGUUAAAUGGACAGAAUUGUUCUUUUUUUUAGAUAAAAGAUGUGGAUGCUAUUGCUCUUGAAGUUGCUCUCGACUUGCUACGCCACCUGCGGACAUUGGGUGACCAUCCAAAGGACGGGAAUCCUGUGAUAAUAAAGAUCGGAAGGGUCGGAUAGAUGGUUAAACAACGCCAAACAAUGGCUUCUGUUCCCAAGAGGACGUCACACUGGAGAAAGCUAUGGAGCUUUUAUCGGGUAAAAAUGUUGGUCGAUCCGGCCAACCUAAGAGCAAACCGAAAGUCAAAGAAGCUGUUGUGGCUAGGGAGAGUGGAGUUGGUAAAUAGUAAAUACAUGGAAUCAUUUUUGGCUAACACCUUGACACAAUGAAUGGAUCAAUGGAUCUGUUGAACGAAGGCAGCUUUUUAGUUUCAACAGAAGAAAGCAUUGCUCUUCUGAGAAGGGUUCCAGCCCCUGUAUGGACAAAAGAGAGAUUCUUCUUACAAUAUAAUUUUGUACAGCAGUGUAAGAAUAUGCAAUUAUAUUGUAAGGUAGCAAUUGAAAUGUCUUGUUGGGGUUUUUUAGGACAGUCUGGUUGCCGGUUUCACAAUAUUCAACAGACUGGCCAUUGCUUAAAAAUCUUGGAAAGCUGCUGUGUGGUAAUUUAAGUUUAGAAAUGAUGCGCUCACCAUGGAAAUUCUUCUUCUGAAUAUUUUUUUUUGGGGUAUGUUUAUAUUUAUGCGUUAUAUUAUUUAACUUGGA
Molecule: long non-coding RNA, 1249 nt
Organism: Populus trichocarpa (black cottonwood)
Lineage: Eukaryota; Viridiplantae; Streptophyta; Magnoliopsida; Malpighiales; Salicaceae
Exons: 6
Source: RefSeq, a predicted model, not a curated record